AAGAGCUGACCCCUGGAAUCUGGGCUAGACUUGCACUUGUUUUGGCCAUUGGAAUAUCAAGCUGACUUUUUGUGGGCUCUGGAGACUAGGACCUAAAAGGAGGAAUGUUGCCCCCUCAUCAUUAUGUAAAGAAGCUGGCGCAACCUGCUGGAGGAGAAUAUGCCACCUGGGGAAGAACUGAGGCACCCAGCCAACAUCCAGCACCCACCACUAGACAUGAAAACACUGGUCGGUUACUAAUGGAGAAGAAGAAAAAGCAGCAAAGACAACGAGUAUACUUGGGAUGCGAUCGCAUGCCUGGAGCAUCUGAGUAUUGGUUGGAAAGAGGUAAAUCAGGCACCAUUUCUCCAUGAUGUGUCAGGACCUGAAUCUGUCAUUUGCGAGCCUGACCUCAUAACUCAGCCAAGCCAAGCUGCAAGGCACCCUGGGAACCCAUCACUGAAAGACUGCAGAGGGAGGAAGGCAAGGGCAGGAAUAGCCAGCUGGUCAAGCAGCAGAGUGUCUCCUCAGCUCCCAGGAAAUGGUGUCUAAGGGUGAUGAUGAACUGGGACUUCAUCUGAGUCCAAAAUAAUGAUGCUGCUGAUGCAACAGCAGAACUUAUUAAACACUUACUACUGCAUAUGCCACUAUGAGGUAGACUUAC
Molecule: long non-coding RNA, 643 nt
Filed under: Homo sapiens (human)
Lineage: Eukaryota; Metazoa; Chordata; Mammalia; Primates; Hominidae
Description: non-protein coding lnc-C8A-9:1
Source: RNAcentral